AGAAUGAACGCUGGCGGCAGGCCUAACACAUGCAAGUCGAGCGAAGUCUUCGGACUUAGGCGGCGGACGGGUGAGUAACGCGGUGGGAACACUUACCCUUUGGGUAACGGAAUAGCCGUACGGGAAACGUGGGAGUAAUACCGUAUGUCGCCCGUUCGGGGGAAAGAUUUAUCGCCAAAGGAUUGGCCCGCGGUUGGAUUAGGUAGUUGGUGGGGUAAUGGCCUACCAAGCCGACGAUCCAUAGCUGGUUUGAGAGGAUGAUCAGCCACACUGGGACUGAGACACGGCCCAGACUCC
This 297-nucleotide ribosomal RNA is filed under the name unidentified marine bacterioplankton. RNAcentral's name for it is "partial 16S ribosomal RNA". It matches the Rfam family "Bacterial small subunit ribosomal RNA", at positions 26 to 339 of the family's 1533-position model. The record is from RNAcentral.